GGGCUUUUGGUCUAGUGGUAUGAUCCUCGUUUUGGGUACGAGGGGUCUCGGGUUCGAUUCCCGAAAAGCCCC
Molecule: transfer RNA, 72 nt
Filed under: Pelagophyceae sp. CCMP2097
Lineage: Eukaryota; Pelagophyceae
Description: tRNA-Pro
Rfam family: tRNA
About the family: Transfer RNA (tRNA) molecules are approximately 80 nucleotides in length. Their secondary structure includes four short double-helical elements and three loops (D, anti-codon, and T loops).
Source: RNAcentral